AGGGAAUCUUCCCCAAUGGGUGACAGCCUGACGGAGCAACGCCGCGUGAGUGAUGAAGGUCCUCGGCUCGUAAAACUCUGUUAUUAGGGAAGAACAAAUGUGAAAGUAACUAUGCACGUCUUGACGGUAGCUAAUGAGAAAGCCACGGAUAAAUACGUGCCAGCAGCCGCGGUAAUACGUAGGUGGCAAGCGUUAUCCGGAAUUAUUGGGCGUAAAGCGCGCGUAGGCGGUUUUUUAAGUCUGAUGUGAAAGCCCACGGCUCAACCGUGGAGGGUCAUUGGAAACCGAAAAACUUGAGUGCAGAAGAGGAAAGUGGAAUUCCAUGUGUAGCGGUGAAAUGCGCAGAGAUAUGGAGGAACACCAGUGGCGAAGGCGACUUUCUGGUCUGUAACUGACGCUGAUGUGCGAAAGCGUGGGGAGCAAACA
This 426-nucleotide ribosomal RNA is filed under the name uncultured Staphylococcus sp. RNAcentral describes it as "bacterial SSU rRNA". It matches the Rfam family "Bacterial small subunit ribosomal RNA", at positions 356 to 774 of the family's 1533-position model. Lineage: Bacteria; Bacillati; Bacillota; Bacilli; Caryophanales; Staphylococcaceae. The record is from RNAcentral.